RNAcentral lists this non-coding RNA (785 nucleotides) under Culex sitiens. The record is from RNAcentral. Lineage: Eukaryota; Metazoa; Arthropoda; Insecta; Diptera; Culicidae.
UUAUUUUAUUUUGGUUAAUAUUUUUAUUAUUAUUUUAUUUUACAUGUAAAUUUUUGUGUGAAUUUAAUUAAUUUUUAAAAAAUUAAUUAAUAUUUUUAUUCGCAGUGAUUAAUAUUAAUAUAAAAAAGAAAUUUUGUAUUAGUAAUAAUAUAUAGUAUUGGUAAAAUUUGUGCCAGCUACCGCGGUUAUACAAAUAAUACAAAUAAAAAUUUUUAGUAGUAGUUAAAUUACUCAAACUUUAAUAUAAAUAUAAAUUUAUUAGGUGAAAUUUUUAAAUUUAUUUAUUAUUAAUUUUAAAAAUAAUUUAAGCUAUAAACUUUUUAUAAUAAACUAGGAUUAGAUACCCUAUUAUUAAAAAUAAAUAUGAACAUACUAAAGUAGUAUUAGUUAUAUUCUUAAAAUUUAAAAAAUUUGGCGGUAUUUUAGUCUAUUCAGAGGAAUCUGUCCUGUAAUUGAUAAUCCACAUUGAACCUUACUUAAAUUUAUUUAAUUUGUAUAUCGCCGUCAUCAGAAUAUAUUAUAAGAUAAAAUUUUCUUAAUAUUUAAUAAAAUAGUAUGUCAGGUCAAGGUGCAGUUUAUAUUUAAGUAGAGAUGGAUUACAAUAAAUUUAUUUAUUAUGAAUUAUUUUUUGAAAUAAAAAUUUGAAAGUGGAUUUGAAAGUAAUAUAAUAUAGAUUAUUUAUAUGAUUUUAGCUCUAAAAUAUGCACAUAUCGCCCAUCGUUCUUAUUUUUAAAAUAAGAUAAGUUGUAACAUAGUAGAUGUACUGGAAAGUGUAUCUAGAAAGA